GAUCCUCCCUCUUGUCUCUAGAAUCCUUUUUGAUCCUGUGAUACUUGUUGUUGUCCUUGGAUGGUCAUUCUUGUUGAGUGAUAACCAGGGCAGCUCUACUGUAUAAACAGAUCGAUCUGGUGAUAAGAGAUGAUGGGGGUAGGUUAUAUGAUCGAGGAAAGGUAAAUCUGAGCCCACUAUGCAAUAAAACUGCAGCUACCUCCCCUAAUGUGUGUAAUAUUGAAGGAAAAAAAGAAUUUUUCAUGUCUUGCUACUUUAAAAUUCCAAAAGGUUCAUUCUCCCUUUGCUGGUUACUUAACCAUGUUUUUUUUGUUUUGCUUUGGUUUUGGUUGAGAUACUAAAGGUUGUUUAUAUAUGAAAAGAACAGACACUUAUAGUUUUGUAUGCCUCAACUGUAGCUUAGGAUCCAGUAUUGUAGUGCUUUGCCUAAUUAAAAAAACUCUAAUCAAUAAUAGUCGUUCUUUCCUUGUGAUUUGAACUCUAAGAGGGCCAUUGAUUCUUGAUCUUAAGGUGACCCCAUUUUUCUAUGCCUCAUGCUCAUGCUGCUCUAUGUUCCUUUUUAAAAAUUCUUGCUUGCAUUUUGGGUUGGUUUUCUGCUCUAGGUUCCCUUUAGCGUUUCUUUUCGUUGUUGUUGCACUCCCUUUUCUGUAUACUACAUGAUAUUUUUGUAUCUCAUUCUUCCGCUUCUUGGUUAUUAGAUGCUUUGAGUUUGAGUGGCUUGAAGAUACAGAUUGCACAAUGUUCUGUUCUGUCAUAUGCCAUCUUGAUAUGGAUACAAUGUUAGCUUUUGAUAUGAGUUAGGAUUAUGUUGCCCCACCAGCCUGAAAAUGUGAUAAAUAAAAGCCUACAAUGCUCGUUUAUUUGUAUUUACAGGCUUCGUUGUGCAGAUAAUUUACUCUUUGUUCCAUAGGAUCACAUUUGGUAGUGGCGUGACCUGAACCUUGAUGCUUUCUUCUUGCUGCUGCUGCUGUAUUCUGUAGUGGAACUGUUAGAUAAGGUAGUUAACUAUCUAGCCGUAGGUCUUAGUAAUGGAACAAAAACCUACUUCACCUUGGAGGAUCACCACGUCCAGUCUCCCUCGCUCCCUCACUUCCUCCCUCCCGCCUCAAAACCCUAGCACCCAUGACCAUGGCGACUCCACUAGAGGUGCAGCAAGCAGGUGCUGCUGUGUGAAGGAUAGGAGAAGAGGGUAGAGGAGAGGACUGCUACUGUCUCACCUACUUCUCCGUCUUCUUCUUCUACUACGUCCUAUGUUGGUCCGACCAGGAGGCGUUGCCAUCGAUUAUAGGGUGUUGGACCAACGUCCUCGUGUUCGUGCAUCUUCGGGAAGAAACGACCCGAGGUGAGUCACCUCUGGUCCGCCGCACGAAGAGCGCGGGAGGUUAGACCGCAAGGGCAGAGGUGCAGUCCUCCAGGGUCGCGGGGAGAAGAAGAUGGGACUCAUAUACAAGCCUCUCUCUCGUGGUGAACACUCUUCCCUGGAAUUGAUGGAAGAUCUGCCUUGCAGCCUUAGAGGAUCCAUGCAUCGUGUGAUGUGUGGCCUACAGGCUACCAAUGCAACUAAUGUAGUCCUACACAACGCAAAUAAUUUUUAGUUUUCAUUCGUUCUAUCUUUAUCUUCAGUUCUUCAGUCUAUCUUGGAGGUAGGGGAUUGUUGUAUAAGUCUGUCAAUAUUUCUCAAUAUCCUAAUUAAUUCAUCCAUUCUUUGUAUCUCGUCCCUGAACUACAUGAGGCGGUUUUUUCCGGAGUUGCUUUAUUUAUUCCAUUACUUCUCCUCUGGUUUGGCCGGAGUCCUUUGCUUCAAGCUCUUUCCCCUGAUGGAAAAAAUUCAUGUUUUUUGGCAGUGUCGCCUCAAUAUAAAUACUAAGUUCUCCCGUCACUAGAUUUUAAUAUUUCAUGAAGAUGGUCCGGUUUUCACCUUAGGUUCAGUUACAUGCAUUCUGUUACAUGCAUUCUGUUGCAUGCAUUCUGUUUAUUUUUUCCAGUCGUUCACUUCUUUUUUUUGUUCUUGUGCUAUUUUCAUAACUGGGAUCCAUAACACUCACUCUUUUUUGUGUGUAAUCUAUGGUCAUCCAAAAAAUACCAAGGAAAACUGGUGGGACUAUGGUUUGGCAAGCAGAGCUUUACUAGGACUGAGCAUGACGAACAAGUAUGGAUGCAAGAAUUUUCUCCUGAAAAUAGGACUUGAGAUAUUCUCCAUGUUUGAUGGCCAUGACCGAGGUGUGAUGUUUUUGUAUUUGCUGGGAUUUCCUAGGACCAGGAGUCCAGGACCAUGAUACUCGUAGUACUGUUCCAUGGCACUGACAGUGAAACAGAUCACAUGCUCAGCAAGAAAACAAAGUCUCAGCCUACUACCUGCAGGACUUUAGUCUUUAAUGACUAAAUGAACGGAUCACAUCAGGUCCCAGCAAUGGCUUCUGUUCCAGUUUCGACUAAGGUCCUGCUUGAUGCUAUGUUAGAAAAGGUUGGCCUUCCAGCAGCAACCUACCUUUACUAUUAGGUUUUCAUAAUUUUGACUACAUAAGUAUGUGUGAUUACUAAACUAUGGCCUAUUCAUGCAAUCCUUUAUUUAAGCUUUUAUAUGAGUGCAUUAGAUGCUGGUGCAUUUGUUUUGCAUGUUUUUUCCAGAUGUUAUAUUAUCUAUUUACAAGUCUCUCAUGAAGGAGUA
Triticum dicoccoides is the source of this 2668-nucleotide long non-coding RNA. RefSeq lists it as uncharacterized. NCBI's taxonomy places the organism in Eukaryota, Viridiplantae, Streptophyta, Magnoliopsida, Poales, Poaceae. The record is from RefSeq and is a predicted model, not a curated record. The transcript has 8 exons.